Unclassified non-coding RNA from Leptinotarsa decemlineata (Colorado potato beetle), 1122 nucleotides. NCBI's taxonomy places the organism in Eukaryota, Metazoa, Arthropoda, Insecta, Coleoptera, Chrysomelidae. The record is from RefSeq and is a predicted model, not a curated record.
AUUGUAAAUUUAUAGUUAUAACCGUGUAUUCACAGUUAUAAUUGUGAAUCAUAUAAACAAAAUAAAAUUAAAAUAUAUGACUCUUCUCCAAAAUGAACUUUUGAAAAAGUAAUAUGUUGCAACAUCUCUUUCAACGUUAACUCGCUAAACAAACUUUACCGCUCCAAAUAGCGAACAGUUGGCAACACCUUUUUUCUUAAAUCUUGAAAUAGUUCAAAUGUAAAUUCAAAUCGAGUAUUUAUAUUAGUGACAAAAUUUCAUGUUUUUGAAGGUGUGUAUGUGUAUUGAUAUGGCAUGCUGCAUAGCAACGGGAAUUGAACCAUUAUAAACAUUCUCGAUAUAAAAGAAUACUCAAAAUGGAACCAACCCUUUCUUUAGAUUUUAAAACGCAUCAAUUUGAGUCACCUGGAGAUGAGAAUCCCAAUUCUAAAAUAUCUGAAAUGACUCGAUUGUCAACACCCAAGCCCAUUAUGCAUUUGGGAUCUUCUACAGAGUUUCGUAGACAAAGUUCCGCUGUGCCAAAAACACCCUUUAAACCUGGCACAGGAUAUAGAUCUGGAACAGGUUUCAAACCGACUACUAAUUUUGCCAAACCAGGAACUGGAUUUAAGCCGGGGACUGGAUUUCGGCCAGGCACAGGAAUGGACAUUGUAAGCAGACCUAUGACUGCAGUAAGAGGUGCUGGGUAUACAUCUCAUGGAAAACCUUUCGAUCCGCUGAACCAAGCUGCUUCAGUCCCAACUCCUCCACUAGAGUUACAAAAAGAUGAUUCGUUAGUACCUUGAACCGUAUCUGCACCAAAACACUCAGCCUUUUUUGCACUUUCUCUGUAUAGGAGACCCGAGGAAAGGAUCAGACAGCAAGAACUCAAAAUAAUGCAGUUGGUAGAGGAAUCGUGUAUUGCACAAUGUGAAGGUGAUUUCAGGAAAGCUCUUACCAAAGCUAAGGAAGCAUCUAAUAAAGAAAGAAGUCUCAUUCGACUACAGGAGCAAUCUGGAUUAGGAGAGCAUCAUAACAUAGAUCUAACAUAUGCUGUAAGACAACUUAUUUAUUUUCAGGAAAAAAUGUAUUAUUAUUUCAAUCUAAACAAAUUACAAUUUAUUACUUGCUAGAAUUUUUGCU